This 255-nucleotide ribosomal RNA is filed under the name uncultured bacterium. RNAcentral's name for it is "partial 16S ribosomal RNA". It matches the Rfam family "Bacterial small subunit ribosomal RNA", at positions 78 to 334 of the family's 1533-position model. The record is from RNAcentral.
UCUUUCUUUGCUGGCGACCGGCGCACGGGUGAGUAACACGUAUCCAACCUGCCCUUUACUCGGGGAUAGCCUUUCGAAAGAAAGAUUAAUACCCGAUAGUAUAAUGAUUCCGCAUGGUUUCAUUAUUAAAGGAUUCCGGUAAAGGAUGGGGAUGCGUUCCAUUAGGUUGUUGGUGAGGUAACGGCUCACCAAGCCUUCGAUGGAUAGGGGUUCUGAGAGGAAAGUCCCCCACAUUGGAACUGAGACACGGUCCAA